This 156-nucleotide ribosomal RNA is filed under the name Irpex laceratus. Its description in RNAcentral is "Emmia lacerata 5.8S rRNA". It matches the Rfam family "5.8S ribosomal RNA". Rfam says of the family: 5.8S ribosomal RNA (5.8S rRNA) is a component of the large subunit of the eukaryotic ribosome. It is transcribed by RNA polymerase I as part of the 45S precursor that also contains 18S and 28S rRNA. RNAcentral also lists the same sequence under 3 other names. The record is from RNAcentral. Lineage: Eukaryota; Fungi; Basidiomycota; Agaricomycetes; Polyporales; Irpicaceae.
AACUUUCAGCAACGGAUCUCUUGGCUCUCGCAUCGAUGAAGAACGCAGCGAAAUGCGAUAAGUAAUGUGAAUUGCAGAAUUCAGUGAAUCAUCGAAUCUUUGAACGCACCUUGCACUCCUUGGUAUUCCGAGGAGUAUGCCUGUUUGAGUCUCAUG